GACGAAGGGGGCUAGCGUUGUUCGGAAUUACUGGGCGUAAAGCGCGCGUAGGUGGUUUGUUAAGUUGGAUGUGAAAGCCCCGGCUCAACCUGGGAACUGCAUCCAAAACUGGCAAGCUGGAGUACAGUAGAGGGUGGUGGAAUUUCCUGUGUAGCGGUGAAAUGCGUAGAUAUAGGAAGGAACACCAGUGGCGAAGGCGACCACCUGGACUGAUACUGACACUGAGGUGCGAAAGCGUGGGGAGCAAACAGG
RNAcentral lists this ribosomal RNA (252 nucleotides) under uncultured bacterium. RNAcentral's name for it is "partial 16S ribosomal RNA". It matches the Rfam family "Bacterial small subunit ribosomal RNA", at positions 524 to 776 of the family's 1533-position model. The record is from RNAcentral.